GAAGCCCGGCUAUCUACGUGCCAGCAGCCGCGGUAAUACGUAGGGUGCGAGCGUUAAUCGGAAUUACUGGGCGUAAAGCGUGCGCAGGCGGUUUUGAAAGUCAGAUGUGAAAUCCCCGGGCUCAACCUGGGAACUGCGUUUGAAACUCCAAAGCUAGAGUAUAGGAGAGGGGGGUAGAAUUCCACGUGUAGCAGUGAAAUGCGUAGAGAUGUGGAGGAAUACCAAUGGCGAAGGCAGCCCCCUGGCUUAAUACUGACGCUCAUGCACGAAAGCGUGGGGAGCAAACAGGAUUAGAUACCCUGGUAGUCCACGCCCUAAACGAUGUCUACUAGUUGUAGGGAGAGUAAAAUCUCUUAGUAACGCAGCUAACGCGUGAAG
RNAcentral lists this ribosomal RNA (378 nucleotides) under uncultured bacterium. Its description in RNAcentral is "bacterial SSU rRNA". It matches the Rfam family "Bacterial small subunit ribosomal RNA", at positions 487 to 864 of the family's 1533-position model. The record is from RNAcentral.